RNAcentral lists this ribosomal RNA (493 nucleotides) under uncultured bacterium. RNAcentral's name for it is "partial 16S ribosomal RNA". It matches the Rfam family "Bacterial small subunit ribosomal RNA", at positions 30 to 523 of the family's 1533-position model. The record is from RNAcentral.
AUUGAACGCUGGCGGCAUGCUUUACACAUGCAAGUCGAACGGUAACAGGUUAAGCUGACGAGUGGCGAACGGGUGAGUAAUGCAUCGGAACGUGCCCGGUCGUGGGGGAUAACGCAGCGAAAGCUGCGCUAAUACCGCAUACGAUCUGAGGAUGAAAGCGGGUGACCGUAAGGCCUCGUGCGAUCGGAGCGGCCGAUGUCAGAUUAGGUAGUUGGUGGGGUAAAGGCUAACCAAGCCGACGAUCUGUAGCUGGUCUGAGAGGACGACCAGCAACACUGGGACUGAGACACGGCCCAGACUCCUACGGGAGGCAGCAGUGGGGAAUUUUGGACAAUGGGCGCAAGCCUGAUCCAGCAAUGCCGCGUGCAGGAAGAAGGCCUUCGGGUUGUAAACUGCUUUUGUACGGAGCGAAAAGGCUCUCUCUAAUACAGGGGGCUCAUGACGGUACCGUAAGAAUAAGCACCGGCUAACUACGUGCCAGCAGCCGCAGUAA